AACGCACAUUGCGCCCCUUGGUAUUCCAUGGGGCAUGCCUGUUCGAGCGUCAUUUGUACCUUCAAGCUUUGCUUGGUGUUGGGCGUCUUGUCUCUAGCUUUGCUGGAGACUCGCCUUAAAGUAAUUGGCAGCCGGCCUACUGGUUUCGGAGCGCAGCACAAGUCGCACUCUCUAUCAGCAAAGGUCUAGCAUCCAUUAAGCCUUUUUUCAACUUUUGACCUCGGAUCAGGUAGGGAUACCCGCUGAACUUAA
RNAcentral lists this unclassified non-coding RNA (252 nucleotides) under uncultured Alternaria. Its description in RNAcentral is "sequence contains ITS2". Lineage: Eukaryota; Fungi; Ascomycota; Dothideomycetes; Pleosporales; Pleosporaceae. The record is from RNAcentral.